UGGGAAUAUUGCACAAUGGGCGCAAGCCUGAUGCAGCAACGCCGCGUGAGGGAAGACGGUUUUCGGAUUGUAAACCUCUGUCUUUGGUGACGAAGAAGUGACGGUAGCCAAGGAGGAAGCCACGGCUAACUACGUGCCAGCAGCCGCGGUAAUACGUAGGUGGCAAGCGUUGUCCGGAUUUACUGGGUGUAAAGGGCGUGUAGCCGGGUCGGCAAGUCAGAUGUGAAAUCCACGGGCUUAACUCGUGAACUGCAUUUGAAACUGUUGAUCUUGAGUAUCGGAGAGGCAAUCGGAAUUCCUAGUGUAGCGGUGAAAUGCCGUAGAUAUU
This 328-nucleotide ribosomal RNA is filed under the name uncultured Oscillibacter sp. RNAcentral describes it as "bacterial SSU rRNA". It matches the Rfam family "Bacterial small subunit ribosomal RNA", at positions 356 to 698 of the family's 1533-position model. The record is from RNAcentral. Lineage: Bacteria; Bacillati; Bacillota; Clostridia; Eubacteriales; Oscillospiraceae.